This 433-nucleotide unclassified non-coding RNA is filed under the name uncultured fungus. Its description in RNAcentral is "partial contains small subunit ribosomal RNA, internal transcribed spacer 1, and 5.8S ribosomal RNA". The stretch from base 1 to 73 matches the Rfam family "Eukaryotic small subunit ribosomal RNA", at positions 1759 to 1831 of the family's 1831-position model. The record is from RNAcentral. Lineage: Eukaryota; Fungi.
UCAAACUUGGUCAUUUAGAGGAAGUAAAAGUCGUAACAAGGUAACCGUAGGUGAACCUGCGGUUGGAUCAUUACAAAAAAAAAGAGUAGCUGUACCUCUAAAGGGAAUUAAUUCACUUUGCAGUCUAGUACAUUCAUUUAGAACGCUGCGGUGGAUGAACCUCUUGAAGAGGUCACUACAUCUUUUUUAAACAUUGUGUGCACUUGAAUUGUUAUUGGCGGUUCGGCGAAACUGUAGUAAGCCGCUCCUGGUAUACACAUUCUGUGUACCUGCCUCCAGCGGAGGGGGCCGCCAAAGGAUUACAAAAACCAUUUGUUAUAAUUUGAGUCUUAAAUAAUUUCUGCUGGUAAUUGUGCCAGAAGGAUUCUAGCCAAAUCUAAAAACAACUUUUGACAACGGAUCUCUUGGCUCUCGCAUCGAUGAAGAACGCAGC